UUAGCAUAUCAAUAAGCGGAGGAAAAGAAACCUACAGGGAUUGCCCUAGUAACGGCGAGUGAAGCGGCAACAGCUCAAAUUUGAAAUCUGGCUUCGGCCCGAGUUGUAAUUUGCAGAGGAUGCUUUUGGUGCGGUGCCUUCCGAGUUCCCUGGAACGGGACGCCACAGAGGGUGAGAGCCCCGUAUGGUCGGACACCAAUCCUGUGUAAAGCUCCUUCGACGAGUCGAGUAGUUUGGGAAUGCUGCUCUAAAUGGGAGGUAAAUCUCUUCUAAAGCUAAAUACCGGCCAGAGACCGAUAGCGCACAAGUAGAGUGAUCGAAAGAUGAAAAGCACCUUGAAAAGGGGGUUAAACAGUACGUGAAAUUGUUGAAAGGGAAGCACUUGUGACCAGACUUGGGCCGGGCGGCUCAUCAGGGGUUCUCCCCUGUGCACUCCGCCCGGUACAGGCCAGCAUCGGUUCUUGCCGGGGGAUAAGAACGGAAGGAACGUGGCCCCCCUUCGGGGGGGUGUUAUAGCCUGCCGUACGAUACCCUGGCGGGGACCGAGGUUCGCGCUUCCGCAAGGAUGCUGGCGUAAUGGUUACUAGUGACCCGUCUUGAAACACGGACCAAGGAGUCGUCCAUUAGAGCGAGCGUUUGGGUGUCAAACCCGCACGCGUAAUGAAAGUGAAAUUAGGUGAGAGCUUCGGCGCAUCAUCGACCGAUCCUGAUGUUCUCGGAAGGAUUUGAGUAAGAGUUUUAACGGACGGACCCGAAAGACAGUGAACUAUGCUUGUAUAGGGUGAAGCCAGAGGAAACUCUGGUGGAGGCUCGCAGCGGUUCUGACGUGCAAAUCGAUCGUCAAAUAUGAGCAUGGGGGCGAAAGACUAAUCGAACUGUCUAGUA
Molecule: ribosomal RNA, 885 nt
Filed under: Involutiscutellula rubra
Lineage: Eukaryota; Fungi; Ascomycota; Sordariomycetes; Diaporthales; Tubakiaceae
Description: eukaryotic LSU rRNA
Rfam family: Eukaryotic large subunit ribosomal RNA
Source: RNAcentral